Molecule: ribosomal RNA, 253 nt
Filed under: uncultured bacterium
Lineage: Bacteria
Description: partial 16S ribosomal RNA
Rfam family: Bacterial small subunit ribosomal RNA
Source: RNAcentral
UACGUAGGGUGCAGGCGUUAAUCGGAAUUACUGGGCGUAAAGCGUGCGCAGGCGGCUUCCUAAGUCAGACGUGAAAUCCCUCAGCUUAACUGGGGAACUGCGUCUGAGACUGGCGAGCUUGAGUGCAGGAGAGGAACGCGGAAUUCCAGGUGUAGCGGUGAAAUGCGUAGAUAUCUGGAGGAACACCGGUGGCGAAGGCGGCGUUCUGGACCGCAACUGACACUGAGAAACGAAAGCCAGGGGAGCAAACGGG